This is a long non-coding RNA of Ahaetulla prasina, 1721 nucleotides long. RefSeq lists it as uncharacterized. Lineage: Eukaryota; Metazoa; Chordata; Lepidosauria; Squamata; Colubridae. The record is from RefSeq and is a predicted model, not a curated record. The transcript is spliced from 3 exons.
UGAAUUUUGAUUGCAUGACCUUGGGGAUGCUGCAGUGGUUCCUGAUGCCCUCCAGUUGUAUUGGACUUCAGUACCCAGAAUUCUUGGUCAACAGAUCUAAAGACUGCCAGGUUAUUGAAGAGAAAAUUAGAGAGAGUUGUUGCUGCAGAAGAUGGACUUACAAGACCUCAAGGAGAAAAAUGACGAUAGCCUAAAUACAGGCAUCAAAAUACUUCAGGAUAUCUCUGCAAUCACUGUUUCUUCCUUCUUUCUACAAUCCAGCUCUUAUAUGGACCAAGUUAUUCCUCUGUUCUUUGUCAGACAAAACAGGAUUUCAAUAUUUUCAAAAUUAGUGAGCACUUUCAAAGGCAUACUAAUAAAAGAACUACAAUAUAAAUUUUCUAAACAAAUAAAUAAAAUGUCCCCUCUCUUUACCUCCAAAACAUCUGAACAACAUUCUUGUCCCUUAAUAAUAAUAAUAACAACAGAGUUGGAAGGGACCUUGGAGGCCUUCUAGUCCAACCCCCUGCCCAGGCAGGAAAAUCCUACACCAUCUCAGAGAGAUGGUUCUCCAACAUUUUCCUAAAAAUUUCCAGUGUUGGAGCACUCACAACUUCUGCAGGCAAGUCGUUCCACUUAUUAAUUGUUCUAACUGUCAGGAAAUUUCUCCUUAGUUCUAAGUUGCUUCUUUCCUUGAUCAGUUUCCACCCUUCUUGUCCUGCUUUCAGGUGCUUUGGAGAACAGCCCGACUCCCUCUUCUUUGUGGCAGCCCCUGAGAUAUUGGAACACUGCUAUCAUGUCUCCCCUAGUCCUUCUUUUUAUUAAACUAGACAGCAAGGUGAUCCAUUGUUGGUUUAGUGUGCUUUUUCCCUGAUACUUUUUCAAAGGCUUUUAUUAUAGUUUAUGUAUAACAGCCAGUAUAGAAAAUUGUAUAAAUAAGUUGUUCCACCUUAAUCCAAGAUGCUAUAUUGAACACAACUUCUGAAGACCGUUUUUGCUACUGAGACCCAUUGUGGUAAUGAGAACUGACAACAUCGAAGAUUCCUUUGAUUUCCCCAAAAGUUGUUCUUAAAUCAAAUUAAAUAUAUCCCCCUAAUCAGCCUGUAUCUUUCCCACAUAACUGAGAAUAAAUAAAACUAGAUUAUAGAUACUUGGAUGAACCCUGCACUGCACAUCUCAUUGAAUAAGAGUUCUAUUAAAACUACAAGCUCUUAAGUUAACAAACGUGUUACUAUGGUGAUAGAGUAUGCUUGUAAAAAACUAUAGGCAUUCAUAUUCAUAGAAACUUCUGAAGCAAGACCAAAUGUUGGAUGCAACACCUGCACUCUUGCCAAGUUUGAACUAACACAUAAAUUAUGGUAGAAAUAAAUGGGUGUGACUAAUAUAAGCACAGCACACUAAAGGAGAAAGGAGGGGCAGGGGGAAAAUGUAGCAUAUGCCUUGAAGGCAAUAUUCAGAGUUUGCAGGAGAUGGGCAUUUUGAAGAGCAUAUUUUUCCCCCCUGUUCACCUUUAUACUCCAUAACCGCAUCGCACAUUUCUCCCCCAUAAAUUGCACAACUGCUAGUUAAUUAUAUUGCUGCAACCUGGGGAACAAGUGUUGUAACACUUUGUUUCUUUGUAAUAUUGGGAACAUUAAGUUUCACUGGAGCAGGAAAUUUGGUUCCCUUUCGCUCAUAGGGAACUCAAUUGCAAAUCGCCCCUUUCAGAAAUGUUGCCAGUAUGGGUCAGAAGCACUAUUCCA